RNAcentral lists this ribosomal RNA (496 nucleotides) under uncultured bacterium. Its description in RNAcentral is "partial 16S ribosomal RNA". It matches the Rfam family "Bacterial small subunit ribosomal RNA", at positions 28 to 506 of the family's 1533-position model. The record is from RNAcentral.
GGUGAACGCUGGCGGCGUGCCUAAUACAUGCAAGUCGAGCGAACGGACGAGAAGCUUGCUUCUCUGAUGUUAGCGGCGGACGGGUGAGUAACACGUGGAUAACCUACCUAUAAGACUGGGAUAACUUCGGGAAACCGGAGCUAAUACCGGAUAAUAUUUUGAACCGCAUGGUUCAAAAGUGAAAGACGGUCUUGCUGUCACUUAUAGAUGGAUCCGCGCUGCAUUAGCUAGUUGGUAAGGUAACGCCUUACCAAGGCAACGAUGCAUAGCCGACCUGAGAGGGUGAUCGGCCACACUGGAACUGAGACACGGUCCAGACUCCUACGGGAGGCAGCAGUAGGGAAUCUUCCGCAAUGGGCGAAAGCCUGACGGAGCAACGCCGCGUGAGUGAUGAAGGUCUUCGGAUCGUAAAACUCUGUUAUUAGGGAAGAACAUAUGUGUAAGUAACUGUGCACAUCUUGACGGUACCUAAUCAGAAAGCCACGGCUAACUACGU